RNAcentral lists this ribosomal RNA (301 nucleotides) under uncultured bacterium. RNAcentral's name for it is "partial 16S ribosomal RNA". It matches the Rfam family "Bacterial small subunit ribosomal RNA", at positions 509 to 809 of the family's 1533-position model. The record is from RNAcentral.
CAGUCGCCGCGGUAAUACAGAGGGUGCGAGCGUUAAUCGGAUUUACUGGGCGUAAAGCGUGCGUAGGCGGCUUCUUAAGUCGGAUGUGAAAUCCCUGAGCUUAACUUAGGAAUUGCAUUCGAUACUGGGAAGCUAGAGUAUGGGAGAGGAUGGUAGAAUUCCAGGUGUAGCGGUGAAAUGCGUAGAGAUCUGGAGGAAUACCGAUGGCGAAGGCAGCCAUCUGGCCUAAUACUGACGCUGAGGUACGAAAGCAUGGGGAGCAAACAGGAUUAGAUACCCCAGUAGUCCCUGUCCCUUAUAA